RNAcentral lists this ribosomal RNA (468 nucleotides) under uncultured bacterium. RNAcentral's name for it is "partial 16S ribosomal RNA". It matches the Rfam family "Bacterial small subunit ribosomal RNA", at positions 28 to 507 of the family's 1533-position model. The record is from RNAcentral.
GACGAACGCUGGCGGCGUGCUUAACACAUGCAAGUCGAACGGAAAGGCCCUGCUUUUGUGGGGUGCUCGAGUGGCGAACGGGUGAGUAACACGUGAGUAACCUGCCCUUGACUUUGGGAUAACUUCAGGAAACUGGGGCUAAUACCGGAUAGGAGCUCUUGCUGCAUGGUGGGGGUUGGAAAGUUUCGGCGGUUGGGGAUGGACUCGCGGCUUAUCAGCUUGUUGGUGGGGUAGUGGCUUACCAAGGCUUUGACGGGUAGCCGGCCUGAGAGGGGGACCGGCCACAUUGGGCCUGAGAGACGGACCAGACUCCUACGGGAGGCAGCAGUGGGGAAUAUUGCACAAUGGGCGGAAGCCUGAUGCAGCAACGCCGCGUGCGGGAUGACGGCCUUCGGGUUGUAAACCGCUUUCGCCUGUGACGAAGCGUGAGUGACGGUAAUGGGUAAAGAAGCACCGGCUAACUACGUG